RNAcentral lists this small RNA (33 nucleotides) under Bombyx mori (domestic silkworm). RNAcentral's name for it is "ovarian small RNA-14836". The record is from RNAcentral. Lineage: Eukaryota; Metazoa; Arthropoda; Insecta; Lepidoptera; Bombycidae.
CUGAAAUGAUGACUUUGAUGUAGCUGUCUUCGC